RNAcentral lists this ribosomal RNA (114 nucleotides) under uncultured bacterium. Its description in RNAcentral is "partial 16S ribosomal RNA". It matches the Rfam family "Bacterial small subunit ribosomal RNA", at positions 1369 to 1482 of the family's 1533-position model. The record is from RNAcentral.
CGUUCCCGGGCCUUGUACACACCGCCCGUCACACCAUGGGAGUUGGUUCUACCUUAAGCCGGCCCGCCGACCGCAAGGGGGCAGCCGACCACGGUAGGGUCAGCGACUGGGGUG